RNAcentral lists this long non-coding RNA (201 nucleotides) under Homo sapiens (human). RNAcentral's name for it is "non-protein coding lnc-HHEX-2:1". Lineage: Eukaryota; Metazoa; Chordata; Mammalia; Primates; Hominidae. The record is from RNAcentral.
GAGAAUCACUUGAAUCUGGGAGGUAGAGGUUUCAGUGAGCCAAGAUCGCACCACUGCAUUCCAGCCUGGGUAAUAGAGUGAACUCCGCCUUGUCUCAAAAAAAAAAAAAAGUUUUUUUAAAGCUAUUCACAAAGUUGCGUAACAACCACCACAAUAACUGUUAGAACAUUUUCAUCACUCCAGAAAGAAACCCUGUACCCA